UUUUUUUUAUCCUUUUCCCCCUUUUAUGGUUUCUUAAUAACUUUCUGAAGUUUUUGUUGUUAAUUAUCUGUUCAGUGCCUAAAAAGUUGUUUCAUAAGUUCAAAUCAGUUGCCCAGAAUUGAUGCUUAAAGCAGGUUCAAAGAUAAACUAGAGAAAGUACAAACGAUACAAAAGAGAAAUGUUCUCUCUAACCUUACGACCACACAUGGUUGCUACAUAUAUAAAUGCAGUCUGUUCCUAAAUGUUUUGCUACUUGCAUAUGCUUCAGGUACCUAACCGUUUUUUGUUGUUCUUGCAAUGCAGGUUGUUUCUCUUGACCAUAAAUUUGCGGAGUAUUCAAAGUCAGAGUCAAUAACUGCCGAGAGGAAAAAGGAGAUUGAUGAUUUAGUUGCUUCCACGAGUGUUCUCCCGAAAGCCCCUUGGGAUGAGGGAGUCUGCAAAGUAUGUGGCAUUGAUAAAGAUGACGACAGCGUACUGUUGUGUGAUACUUGUGAUGCUGAGUAUCAUACUUACUGUUUGAUUCCUCCUCUUGCAAGGAUCCCAAAGGGAAAUUGGUAUUGUCCAUCUUGUGUUGUUGGGAAAAACAUGGUUCAAGAUGCGACAGGACAUGCUCAGGUCAUUAGCCGACGCCGUGGUAAAAAUUGUCAGGGAGAAGUUACACGCAUUUACUUGGAGUCACUCACGCAUUUAGCUUCUAAAAUGGAAGAGAGCGAGUACUGGGAAUUCCAUGUGGAUGAGGUUUGCUUAUUCAACCUUUACACUUUUUUCUCUAGUCGUUCUACAAUUUCAGGAUCAUUUGAUGAAUUUUUUUGUCUAACUUUAUAGGUAACGGUUUCAUUUUGUUUGCAGAGAACCUUCCUGCUGAAAUUCUUAUGUGACGAGUUGCUUAAUUUAUCCGUUACUCAUCAACACAUUGAUAAUUGUUCUGAGACAUCGAUCGAGUUGCAGCAGAAACUGCGUUCCUUAUCUGUAGAGUGGAAGAAUCUCAAGUCUAGAGAAGAGUUCUUGGUUGCAAGAGCUGCAAAGGUUGAUGUCAGCCUUAGGGAGGAUUGCAUAAAGGAAGGGAUUUCUGCUUCAGUUGAAAAUCAAGAAAAAUGUCUUGGUCAAGCACAUGCUUUGAGUGGCAGGUCCAACUACGUCAAUGUAGUCUCUGAUGAUAUGCCAGGAUCAGAGUGUUCCCGAGGGUUUGAUCAACUCGAGUCUGUCAGUAAUGCAGACAAUAGUCAACAUUCUGCACGUGCUGAAGUGAAGGACAAAGAUGCCUAUCCUGCUGUUGACAAGACUAAAGCAGAAGGAGAUUUCAUUCUGAAUAUGCAUUCUGAGAAAAUUGAUAGCUCCUUCGGACAUACUGAGUUGACUUCAUCAAAUUCUUUACCCCAUGAAGCCAAUGGCUCUACUAGAGAAAUCGGUGGCCUUGAUCUACAACAGGUGGAUAUGGAAAGAGUUGUCUCCCCUUUUCAGCCUUCAGAUCAAGAAGGACUUUGUAUCCCUUCUGAAGUCAGGAGCAAUUUUGUGGCUCAACGGUUGUCACCUACGAUAAUUGAAUCACACUCCUACAACCUUGAGCUCAAAGCUCUAAGAAGUGACUUGUCACUUUUGUCCGACUCUAUUACUGCCGUAGAGUCGGACCUUGCAAAGCUUUCUGUGCGCAGGGAGUUUUUAGGAGUGGAUUCUUGGGGUGGCCUGUACUGGGCUUCAGCCAUGCCGGGUGAAGUAUCGCAAGUUGUUGUUGAUAGAAGCAUGGCAGAAGGCAGAGACCCAGUAUGGAGGAAAUCCAUCUUCCAGAACUUUGCUGCAUCAUUUGAACCAAACAAAGCUGUUGCCUCAAGUUCACAUUGGAGUUCAUAUGAAACUGAUGCAGAAAUUGAUGAACUGAUAGGUUGGUUAAAGCCUCAUGAUCCGAAGGAAAAGGAGUUGAGAGAAUCAAUAUUGCACUGGCAGAAGUCUAGGUUCCAUAAAUAUCAGCAAACUGGAAGUCAAGUUCAGGAUGAUCUCCCUAGUGCUUCGUCAGUGGCUUGUAAUGGUGAAAGAGCUACAAUAUCUAACCAUCUUGUUACUAGGGCAGCCAUGUUUCUGGAGAAGUUAUAUGGUCCUUGCUUUGAGUUGGAAGCUGCUGAUAUCUCCAAAAAGCAGGGGAAACAAGCUAGACUAACUAAUGAUGAGAAAAUGUACAGGUGUGAUUGUUUGGAGCCAAUUUGGCAAUCUAGACAUCACUGCUUCUCUUGUCACAGAACCUAUUUGACUGAUUUUGAACUGGAGGGGCAUAAUGAUGGUAGGUGCACCUCAGGUGCUGCAGCCGGUGAUAAGGGAAAGGAAGUACUUGGUUCUACUAUGGUUAAGGGAAGUCUGAAUUGUGUGAUAAGUCGGGAAGAGAGCAAAGGGCAGCUGAAUUGCCCAUAUGAUCUGGAAAAUAUCUGUGCCAAGUUUGCGACAAAAGACUCUAAUAAGGAUUUGAUACGGGAUAUAGGUCUUAUAGGUUCCAAUGGAAUUCCAUCUUUUGUUCCAUCCUUAUCUCCUUACCUCAGUGAUUCUGCAGUUGCAUUGAUUACUCCUCAGGAAGAUGUAUGUGAACUUGGAAAUGAAAAGGCUGCUGAACCCCCAAAUUCAGUAGGAAAUGCUGGUGCCAACACUGCAGGGCGUAACAGUCAUUUUGGGUCAGCUGAUGGGGUAGAAGUGCCAGAGGCCAACUUCAGAUGUCUGGAACGAAGAAAUAUGAGACCCUCGGGUAGUCAUUCAAUUGUGGGGGCUGGUCACUUCUAUGUUGUCCCCCAGUCCUCUUUGCGGCCUUUAGUUGGAAAAGUUACGCAGAUCUUGAGACAUUUGAAGAAUAAUCUACUUGACAUGGAAGCUGCACUACCUGAAGAAGCUUUAAGACCAUCAAAGAUGCACUUGGAAAGGAGAUGGGCAUGGCGUGGGUUUGUUAAGUCCGCGUCCACAAUAUACGAGGUUAGUCUUCUCUUGCUAGAUACUACUUUCCUAAUCACUAAAUGAUGGCUAUGUUGCCAUUAAUUCAUAUAUUCCAUGGUGGAGCACUGUUUGAUAGAAAGGUUGUCACUCUUACUAUCUAUUUUUUAUUGUGUACUCCUUAAUGGUUUCAAAGAAAUAAUAGUUUCAUAUAUGUCAAUUUGUAUUUCCACCCAAUUGUUUCAGCAGAGCUUAGUUGGAUGUUUGAUAUUAUCAUGUUAUCAUCUAAAGCUUUUCUGCAGACCUCGACUUAUAAUUGUAUAAUGUAUUCUUAUUUUUAAUGCUGCCUUUGGCAGAACAGUAGGAUUAUCCUUUUACUUUUUUAAUUUUUUUUUUUCAAAAUUUUGUUAUUUUCUUAUGCUGCUAUGUAAUUCUGUACUUCCAAGUCCAUAGAUUUGAAAGAUAACCAACAAGUAUACUUGUUUUAUACAGAUGGUUCAAGCAACAAUUGUGCUGGAGGACAUGAUUAAGACCGAGUACCUAAGGAAUGAGUGGUGGUAUUGGUCAUCGUACGCAGCUGCCGCCCAAACUUCUACUAUGUCAUCCCUUUCCCUGCGUAUUUACUCCCUCGAUGCUGCUAUCCUGUAUGAGAAAUUGCUUCCGAAUUCCAACAUAACUGAUGAAUUGGAGCCUAGCAGCGUACAAGACCAGAGUAUGCAGCCUGUUGUGGAUUCAACAGAGAAGUUAAAGAUAAGUAGGAAAGUCAACAAGAAAAGGAAAGAUCCAGAGGGUUGAUGGUGGGAAAUAUGAUUCUAGAUUUGUGCUAUGGAUCCCAACCUGGAUGGGUCGUACCCAGCAGGCAUGAAGCAGCAGUGUGCAUAUCAGGUAACAGUGGAUUCUGAUCACUGAAUCACAUUCUGAGGUUGUGUUGGAUCAGAGUGGACCAUGACAACUAUUUUUGAAGAAUGAAAGUGGUCCCUGCUACUGAAUGCUGCUGCCGAACCAUUUAUUUGUACAUAAAGGUAAAGCUGACAUGCUAACUUGGAUGCGGAUAUGCGGAUGAUGAGAAGCAGUGUUUAUGUGGUAUCUGCUUCAGUGAAUUCGGGCACCGGGACAAACUUGAUAACAUAAGCAGAUGAGCCCAAUUUUGGAAUGAUUUCUGCUGCGGCCUAGAAGUGGGAGAUGACAUUCUUUAUAAGAAAGAGAAAAAAAAUAUCAUAUAUAGUUACAGAGGGAACUAAUAUUAACGAGAAAUUGGCAAAUUACUGAAGCUGAGCAGGUUUAGUCAAUAUCUCAUUCUUUGGAUACAUCUCUCUUUUCAGUCUCUCUCUCUCUCUCUCUCUCUCUCUCUCUCUCUCUCUCUCUCUCUCUCUCUCUCUCUCUCUCUAGGCCAAAGCUCUCAGAAUUUUUAGUUCAUCUUUUUGGGGGCUUUCUGGGAUCAAUGUCUUCUUUUUUUUGUUUCUUUUUAGUGCAGUAUCCCAUGGUCUGCCUUCCAUUUUGUAGCAAAGUAGCAGGUGUUAGAUGCAUUACAAGUCCAUUAGCUUGAUGUGCAAUCUUCAUACGAAGAAUUGUAUCAUAGUUUAGAUUCUUUCAGCUUCUGCCUCGUCAUUGGCAAUGUGUCUGUCAAUAUGUAACCUUGUGUACUCUUGUGAUUUUCUCAUGAAAUAGCAGUACUUUUUAGUGUAUCCAGUUGAGCCUUCUCUUUUAGCUCUUUAGUCGCAGGAUGUGUGUUGUUUUGGUAAUGCAUUGUUGCAAAUUUAAUCAGUUUUACUGCUAAUUUCUCCCAGACUAAUGUUGUUCUGUUUACACCUGCACCCAAGUGAUAACUGAUGGUAAUAAUUUGUUACUUAUUUUCUUAGGUUAUUGUAAUAAUUGAGGGUUUCAGUAUGCUUCUUCCUUGACUAUUGGGGAGUAUGAGGUCGAAUGGUGCAGUGUUGUCACUUUGGGUUUAUGAAACACUUGAGGUCAGAUUCAUCUAGAUAUGCUUUGGAAGAGGUUGAUGAAAUGCCUAUUGUUCCAUAUAGUGAUUGUAUAAUCAUUGGUCUUAGACUUUGUAAUAGCGGAAUGGUACAAAAACACAAGUAGAGAAAGGAACAUAGAAAUGAGGGUUGGACAAAUCUCAAGACGAUAGGAUAGCUCAAGCCUCAAGAAGAUCGUCAGGUCCAUCCCUAAAAGAUUCAGGUCUGCAAUUUUUGUACAGGAAACUCAGGAUCUUGGAUUAUAGCUACAAAUCCUUCUGAACAAAAUACAUUGAUUUUUAUUUAGCGCUCAGAUUUAUUUUAGUGUCUGAGGCACUGACAAAGCUGCAUGCCCUUUACAUUUGUGUUCGUAAUUGCUGAACAAUCAGCUUAACUGCUUGGAUUAAGCAACUAUAUAUAGGUACAUUAGGGAAGUAAAAUAGCAACUUCAUUCUCUGAAAUAGAGAUGGUAACAUUCUAGGACCACACCCACCAGCCCAUAGACACUCCAUCCUCCGGCUGCUGCUGCACUGCAGCGGCGGCAAACACUUCGGAGAAGUAAUUCCGGCCGUCAUCGCUGCCAUCAUCCUCCUCCGAGUGGACUCCAACUACUAGCCCCAUGCAGUGAUGAUCAUCAUGAGGAAGAUGAGGAUGAUCAUAAUUGUGAACGUCACAGCUACUUGGGAAAUAAGAGUCACCGCUGUCCACGAGCUGAGGGCUUUCCUCGUCCACCACGGCACUUCCACCGCUCCCGGAGCUCAGGCGAUCCUCAACCUUGACACUAAGCUGGAGACUCAUUGGAACAUUAACAUCCGUGAUCAUCUCUUUCUCACUUGGAAGAAGAUGAACAGGGUCACACUUCUCAUCAUGAUCAUGAUCACCUGCAAAUGCUGCUCCUUUAGCCUCCUGAUCUUUAGCUUCAAGUUUCUCAGUUAUGGUGACCACCUGUAUUAAUGCUUACGCUAAAUUAAUGUAUCCAAUGAGGGAACUAAACUAAUGAUUUCCAUAUCAUAUUUUUCUAAACAAACCAAAGAAGAGAGUCGAGGGAUUUAUAAUAUGAAGUGUAACCGAGUAUAUUCCUUCUGUGACUCUGAGAGUGUUUAUUAAAAUUCAAGGUGGGGUUUUUCAGAACAGAAGCUAUGUAUUUAGAUGGAAAUAGGACCACGUACAAACACCAGAUCUGUCUACUACAGUACUAUAAUAUCUACAAAGAGUUUGAUUGAAUCAAAUUACCAAGUGAUUGUGAAUCUGAGACCAACAUUAGCAUGUAAGACAAAGUGUCACAGCAACUCAAUUUACAUAUGAAAAUGGUAUAAUUAUUUCUAUAAAAAUUAACCUUUGCUAAGAAGACACUUUGCGGACUAAAUAUUCAUCUCAAGAAGUGCCUUCUGAUUAUUUCUAUUAUGAAGAAUUAACCUUUUGUGGAUGACAUGUUCGUCAAAACAAGGUUCUUUCUCAAGUUACUUGCUAUGCCAAAAGCUUUGUUAAAAUCAUAGUUAAGAAAAUCAUGAUCAACAAUUAGCUAGCAAGUAUGAGUAGGAAAAUUGGUGACUACUGUGUAAUAUAUACCUCAGAUUUGAGCUUCUGAUUCUCCUUGAGGAUAGAAUCAUAGUUGGCCAAAAGGGAGUCAUAAGACGCUUUUAGAACAUCAUAAUCGCGCUCGAGCUGCUUUGUCUUCCAUCGAGCCCUACGGUUCUGGAACCACACAGCCACCUGCCUUGGCUGCAGCCCUAGCUUCUUGGCCAGCUGCGUCUUCCGAUCCGGCUCCAGUUUGUUCUCUGUCUCAAAGCUCUUCUCCAGCAGAUGCACCUAAGAAACGAAAUAUCACAAAAUCAGAAUCAAAACUCUGAUCUGAUCUGACUACAAAUCAAACAAAAAGGAAGACAAAUCGAACAAAGUUGAGUUCCAGUAAGCUAAAAUGAUGUGAAAACUACUACAAUCAGAUUCCCACUAGGGUAAAGCCAAAAAGAUUAUAGUGAUAAGGAAAAUGAAAUGAAUUUAUGCUCCUGAUCAGGUAAAUAUGCCAUAUGUAGCACAAUUCACAUGGGAAUAUUCUUCAAACUUAGAACCAAAAGUCCAUAUGCAUAUUCGAUUAGACCAAGACACAAACAUGUUUAAGCUUAUCGAGAAGGAAUAGAAUUUUAUACAAAUAGUUCCAUAGUGAAGUAUCAUAUAUGUAAGAAAGGAAAAUAGGGGUGGUGGCCGGAGACCUGCUCGGUAGUGAGGCGGCGCUUCUUCUCCGGCAUCUGCUCGUCGUAAUAUUCCUCCUCGUACAAUUCAUCUUGCGUGCUGAAAAACGAUCGCCUCCUCGAAGUUUCCUCCAUCCCCAUCAUCGAUCUCGACCCUAAUCAAUUCCAAAAAUUAAUUCAUAGAUUAGUCUUUUUUUUCAUCAUUGAAUUUCAUAGCUGACUCGAACAGAGAACAUCCGAGCAACAUGAAUCGAAGCAGACAAGCCAAAUUCAACAUGAGAAAACCAUAAUAUUCUUACUUACCUCGGAAAACUUGAUCACCACUCCCAAGGAACAACAUGUUGCCACCGCCACCUUGCUGAGGAUCAAAGAAAAGACGGCCCGGCUCCAUCAUCUUCACAAAGGACUCUUCUACUUACCUUGAUCUCCUCUUGAAAAAUUCUGCUGGGCCGGCGGGCGCGUGAAGUCACUCGCCGUCGGUACUGGUUGAAAAGUGCUAGGGGACGGGAGGUUUCUACCGUUUCUUACACAAUACGUAAUAUUUUGGGUGUAAGUGAAAUCUAUUAGAAGAUCAUAAUCUUGUGGCGGAAGAAACUGGUGCUCCAAAGUAACCUCGCCGGACUCUCCAACGGACAGAUACAAAAUCCCAUCAUACCACCACCGAUCUUUUCAGCUCCGGUGAAAGCAACGUCAAGUUCGCCGGAUGUAUAUAUACUGAAAAUUGAGUUUAGAAGAUGGUUUCUUUGAGUACUAGGCUUGUACUUGUUCGAACCUCACGCACCAAACCUCCAUGAGAGACAGGGGGAAAUCUGGAUAUAUGAAGUUCACUGGAGCUUAUAUAUCCGGCGAGCGAGAAAGAGAGUCGGAAAAAACGAGUGUUGUUUCAAGGUUUUUUUUGCAGCUAAAGUUGAGAGAGGUGACUCCAGCGCGAUUUAUAUUGGUGCCAUGCGUCUUAAAUGACCAAACAAUCCUCUGAAAUCGACAUCAGCUACAGCUUUUCUUGGGACCGUUAGGUAAUUCAAGUAGAAUUUCUCUUAGGGUUUGGAUGUACACGUACUGCGGGUGUAGAUAACAAUUGCCAAAUAUUAUUUUGAUUGUAAAACUAUUUCUAUAUCUUUAGAUGACAAAACGUCUGUUUCAGCUUUGUCACUUAACAAAAAACUACAAAGAAAAGUUUGAUUGAAAAUAGAGGAGAGAAUAAUUAAUUAGCACUAAAGAUUAUUAGAGUUUAAUUAGUGAAAUGGAAAUUGUUUAGGGUUUACAGAGGGGCCAAUUGUUCAUGUGUUCAGAUGGGGGGAGAUGGAGAUGAGGAUUAGCUGCCAGGCAGUGUAUAAUAUGUGCCCAUGCUUGGUGAUCGAGGAAUUGUCGGAUCCAGAUCACCUGAAUUGCUGCGCUGUGAUAAAUGGUUCUGAUUCUCUCUAUCUGUGUUUCUUUCUUCUUGAAAUUGAUUUUCAUCCUGCCAGAGAUAUAUAUAUAUAUAUAUAUAUAUAUAUAUAUGUCGUCUCUGCAACUCCCAUUUGCAUAUCUAGUUGCUCAUCAUGGAGCAUCUCAAUAUUACCUUUCAUUUCUUGGACUGUUUCUUUGUUUUUCUAUUGGAAGUUUGCAUUGUUUUAUGAUUCAGAAACUCUAAAACCAUACUGGUUCAAAAGCUAGAAAAGCUGAGAUCGAGUUGAUCUGCGACCAUGAAUGUGAUCAAAGUAAUUAAAUCGUUGAAAGUCUCUAGUACAUUAACAAAGGAAGGAGAUAGGUUUGGUUUCUAACCUCAUUCACCGGCUGGUUGUGAUUAUAUAACUAAGGACGUGGACAUAUAUAACUAGGGAAGAGUCGGGCUUAGCUACUAGGUUUGGUUGUGUCUUCUUCAGUUCUUCGUAAGAAAUGUUUGUGGGUAAGAACUAAGAACUAACAUAUAUAAGAUCAAUGGUGGUCCGUUGAGAGAUCGACGAUAAAGUCUCACGUAGCCUAUACCUAUGGCCUUCCUGGUUGGCCGGAAUUCUUCGCUCUGAGCCAUCGACUGUUAGUAGUGGGUUUUCUUCUCUUUUUUUUGUGGUUGUUUUAAAGUUGUUUAACUAAUGGGUAUGCUAUUGUUAAGUAUAUAUACAAAUAAAAGUUUGAUCAAAACCUUUUGUUUUUGUUUAGAGUGAUGUGGUUGCAGAUCAACAAAACAAAGUCUUUAGUGUUGUGCUAAGUAGCUGUAAGGCUGUAACCAAUAAUGUCCAAAACGAAGAAACAGAAGGGGAGGCCAGGAAAACCAAAGGUAUCUUGGUGAUGAGUGGAGUGGAAUAGAGUCGCAUGGAUUAUACUCAAAAUGGUGGGGUUCAUGUAGACAUGACUUGUAAUCUCAAACACUACUAAAAAGUUAUAUAAAUAUGGCUUAGCUACUAUUCUCGUCUCUAAGUGACGCAGUCACACUCACACAAAUAUAACAUAUACAAUACAAGGUGACCACACCAUACAUAUUUUAGUGCUUGUGCCACGCACUCAUGAAGCACUUGAUUAAGAAGUUUUGAAUUAGUUCCAUGGUGCCACAGUACCCCAUUCUCUUCUUUUCUUUUUCCUUUCUCUGAUUGAUUGUAACGUAUAAAUGUAUAAUGAUACAAGACUACUGUUCUGUAUGCGUUUAAAUAUAUGUAGAACAAAGUAAACCCUUGAGAAUAAGAUGAAUACUAUUAAGUAAGAUAUAUUAGGAUAUGUAUACGUAGUUGCAGGGAAUAUAAACCCUAGAUCGACUCUUCUCUUCCUCAGGUAUCGUUUUCAUGGCCUUUAGCAACUGCACUUCGGUUAUGGGACCCGAAGAAUCAAAAGCUUUCCUUUAAUUUUCGAGUGGAAGAUAAAGGAAAUAGGAAGCUAGCUAGAAAAAGCUAAGCACAAAACAACAUUUUUUUAGAAAACAUACAUACUUUUGGUUAGUUAUUUCUCCGUUAAGUUAGUGUUUAAUUACGAAACAUUUUUAAUGUCUUUAGAAGUCGUUUAAAGUGACAAAUCAUUUAAUUUACAUAAACACGCAUAAUUUAAUGAUUUAAAGCCUUUAAUUCUACUACGUUAAACGUGAUCUUUAGCACAUAAACAGAAUGAUAAGAGAUAUUCAUGCAUGGGCAUUUUGUUUAGUCAUUUGAUCAAAUUGCAAGAAAUGUUCAUUAUUUUGAACAACAUUGACUUGAGAUUAUCUGGAUCGAUCAAGGCAUGCAUGUGAUGUGUACUGAGAAAAUGAUGGAGGUGCAUGUGUCAGCGGCAUCUUUCAUCGAUUUUAUAUCAUUAAUCCUGUUUACAGAUCGAUCUAAUUAACAUAUAUAAUUUCAAUAUUAAUUGAAAAAUCGAACAGUUUGAAGUACUAUUGAUUUUAAGAAAUUAAACAGAUUGAUUAUUCAUCAGAUCGAGACUUAGAGAAAUGCCCACUUUCCAUGUGUUGGCCAGUUGUCUACCAAUGGCUUGCAAUGUGGGAAUAUCUGUACUCUCCCAUUUGAAUAAGAAGAAGAAGAAGAAGAAUAAGAAGAAGAAAGGGAAUCAAAACAGAAGAGAUUAUAGAAAACACUUCGAUCCCCCACAGAUAAGGAAUGUGAUUCACUUCUUCCCAGAAGAUAAUAACAAGUCUUAACUAAGAACCAGCAGUAGUUUUCUUAUAUAUGCAAGAAAGAUAAGAUGCAUGGGAAACGAUUAACGUAAUCAUCGAAUUAUAUAUGAACGAAACAUUUGGAAGUUCGAUUUGAUCAGCUUUUAUUCUCUUCACGUAAUGGAAUCAAGGAAUUCGAAACAGCCCGUUAUCGAUCACUACAUUUCUCCUUCUGUAAUGGACUUGGCUAUAUACGUACAUAUGUACGUAUACGAUCAAAGAAAAUUAUCUAUAUGUUAAUGAUUCACUUCCACACGUUAAAAAAGUAUCAAUAUUCUUUAUCUUUCUUUCUUUCCUGGGACGGGGGUUUUUGGGUGGUUUGCUUUUGUAGUAUAAUUUGCUUCGUUGGUAAGGCAAUACACUAAAAUAAAUGUGGUACGUGGUAUCUUUUCACUAGAAUCGAUCAUGGAUAUAUAUUGGAGAUUUGGACUUUAAGUUGGUCCAAUAAUCGUCCACCUCCUUCUGCUAGCUACUUGGCUUUAACAGAAAGUGGGGAUCGAUAUCGAGGAGAAUGAAUUUGGUGAAUAAGUUAGCUUGGUGAACUUAAUUAAUGGGGAUUGAUAGAGAGUAGUCGGAAAGCUACGUAUAAAUGAGAAGGGCACCAGGCACCUGAGAAGGAACAAUGCUUUUGAGAUAUGUUUGUGUCAUUGUCGACCUUAUGAUUUGUGAAUGCAUGGUUGAUAAUGGUCGUCGACCAUGGCCAUUUCAAAUUUUCAACUAUAUAUUUUACUAGCAUUCCUUAAAGUUUUCUCUCAAGUAUUAGGUAAUCAAUUUCAAAAAACAACCUACAGUAUUGUGCACCUCAUACUGAUAUGAACACACCAUAUAACAGCAAAAAGGAUCAAAAUAGAUGAGGUAUAACUUAAGUCCAUCUCUAUAUCCUGGGGGAACUCUUGGACCUCUACAAUUGCUGCAACCUCUUCUACAUCAACUUGCUCCAUAAUCCUUUCAGCAUCAACUACUUGCUUCAUAGUCUUUUCUGCACGGUACUUCGCGAUCCGUAAUCUUUUCUACAUCAUCCAUAAUCAGCUAAUCUUUUUGUUCAUCUUUUCUCUAUACAUCAACUUCCUUACAGAAUUGUUUUGUUGCAAAGCGUAGAAGAGUUAGUUUUGUACUCCUUAAUUGCUUCUUGACCAUUCUCGAUUUCAUAAUGGUGAAAAAGUGAAAUGAGUUACAUAGCUACAAUGGUGAAGUGUACAUAUAUAGCUAGCUAUGUGCCAAUCUCGAUCUAAGUUUUACCAAGAACUGAUCGAAUAUGGAUAACAGAUCAUUUACAUAUGAGAGCAAUCGCACUAAAGAGAUCAAUGAUAACCUGCAACUCUCGUAGCGUGAGAAGCUCCAGAAGACGAGUAUAUAUGGACAACAACGUACAUACGGUGUAUCAUAUACUCCGAACAUACAGUAAAUUAAGGAGCCUGCUCGACAUUGAGAAUCUCCACGGUGUCAGCCAUCAACUCCUAUAGACUAGAAAGCUGUCAAAGCAAAAAUUAUACUGUACAUAGGCAGAGAGCAUUAACUAAUGGAAAUCGAUCUGAGAGCAUAAUAUAAGUGGUUGGUUACUUGGUCUGCUUGCAUACAAGCUUACAGUUAUAUAGUAGACGUAGAUACAGAAAGGGAUAGCACUAGGAUAUGCUAUAUAUAUCUUGAUUUCGGAAGUGUAUGAACAAGGCCAAGGCAUGGGGAAAAGCCUCUUUGAUCAAAUCACUUAACAAGGCCAAGAACAUAUUACUAAGCUGAUCCUGAUUCUUGUUAAAUUCUCCAGACGACUAAUAUGUUAAAUGCAACACCUGCUUAUUUGCAGAAGUACGUACUACGACUUGCAUUAUCAGAAGAAAUAACAAAAUGCAGGUCGAUGGUAAAGACUCUAAUCUGUAGGCACCUGUCUGCAAUUUCUAGAAGUUGACGGGGACUGCGUAGCUAGGGUUUUAUCCUUCUUCUUUCUUUUUUUUGACAUGAAUGGAUAUAUAUGGAUGCGUAUUGCAGCUCAUAUAGAAAUUGAUUAGCUAAAUGGUAACCAAUCCCAAAUUUGAUAUUGUGCCAUGAAUAUAAUAUCGAUCUGUACGUUUAUUCAUACCAACAUAAGGCUAGAUUAUGCACCAAGUCUAAUCUUUGUAAUUAUUUUGACCAAAAAAAUCUUUGUAAUUAUAUGUCGAUUUGUAUGACCUGAUUAAUAGGUAAAUAUGGAUAGUGCCUCCAGGAUAAAUGCCAGAUUAAUAGGUAAUUGUGGAUAGUGCCUCCAGGAUAAAUACUUGAUCUAAUAUAUCCGCCAUUAACCUCAUACACACCAAAGACAUGAGAAUCUCGUUAUUACUAGAACAAGUAAUUAAUCAUUUGAAAGAGUGAGAUAAUCUCCCAGAUACUGAAAUUCCAUUUGGACAUUGAUAAGUCCCAAUAUAUAUAUGAGCAUUUACUUCUUGAAAAUUUCAUUCUCCAUAUCCCUGUUAUUUCAAUCAUAUUUUCUUUUACAUUCUUCUUACAAAGAUGGUGAACGCAAAUGCUAUUAGGUUUGUGGUUGGUAUUAUUGGUACGUUCUUGAUGCCCUUCUCUGCUUCUAAACUCAUAGUUCUCGUUUCUCUCUUACACUCUCUUGAUCUGUUAAAAUAGCUAGAAUAGAUUAAUAUAAGGGCUUGAAGGUGUUUGUUGAUUUUGUUUGUUUAAAUUUUUUGUGUGCAGGAAACGUCAUAUCUACAUUUCUGUUCCUCUCCCCAAUGUAAGCCUCUCCCUAUCGCACUUAAUCGUUAUUGAUGUUGAAGAAUAUAAAGCAUAUGAACUUAUGUGAUUGUCUAACUUGUUUUCCUAUAUGAUUGGUGAUUUCAUAUGUUCCACUUACCUAUGGUUUAUAUGAUUGAUCUCUUACUCGGGUAGUAAGAUUGUAUCAAAGCUUCUCGUUUAGGGCAUGAGAUAUAUAUUAGGAUUAUGCUUGAUCUCUUAUUUGUUAAAAUAUAUGUUAAAUUUGGACUUGUGAUUUGGUUGCUCAAUUGUUGAUUAUCAGUUGAAUCAGAUUUGGUUUUCAUCACAUCUAAUGCUUCGGAUAAAAUAUUCUUCUUUUUUUGGCAGCCCUACGUUCAUCAAGAUAUGUAAAAAGAAAGAUGUGGAAUCUUUCGAUCCAAAGAUUUACAUUGUAACAGUGUUGAACUGUUUGUUUUGGUGCUAUUACGGAAUGCCAUUUGUUAAUCCAAACAGCAUUCUAGUAGUCACCAUUAACGGAGCUGGGCUAGUAAUAGAGCUUAUAUAUAUUGGAAUAUUCUUUUUUUAUGCUCCAAAAAAUGGACGGGUACGCAUACAUCAUUCAUUUACACAAUUUGACAACCAGGUUGCGUUUAUUUAUUUUUCAAAUAUUUAAUCUUUCACUUUUAUUCUUGCAGGUGAAGGUUAUCCUAUUGUUAGUAGGUGAAAUUGUUUUGUUUGCCGUUAUUUUGGUUAUAACUAUGUUGACAAUAUCCGAGCAUAAGAUGGCAAUGAAUAGACCUUACCGGGCUGUCGUGAUUGGUAUUAUAUGUGAUGUCUUCAAUGUCAUCAUGUAUAGCUCUCCUCUGUUCAUUGUGGUAUGUCAUACUUUAUAAUGUAAAUAUAUUUGUUAUUGUGUAAUACCUCACAAUUUAGCUCACUGAUGACUUGGUUUUAACUUUUAACAGAGAGAUGUCAUUAGAACUAAGAGUGUGAAGUACAUGCCAUUCCAUAUCUUAUUGGCCAACUUCAUGAAUGGUUGUUGCUGGACUGCAUAUGCUCUUAUUGGGAAAAUUGACUACUUCAUCUUGGUAACUAUUUCGCUCUUAGUGAUCAAUUUUGAUGAUGUGGUGAUUGACCUUAUUAACUAACGCAUGUGUAUCUAAUUACUAAUGCAGAUUAGCAACGGUCUUGGUGCAUUUUUUGGACUAGUUCAAUUGAUAGUCUAUGGAAAAUACCGCAAAACUACACCAAAAGAUGAUGACCAUUCCAACAAGGCUACUAAUGAAGUGCAACUCUCUAAUGUAUAAUUAUCUCUUAUCCAUCCAAUCGCUUCAAAAAUUUUGUCCUUUUUAGUUUCUGUAUGUUUUUGAGAUCAAGUUUCUGGUUUUUGUAAUUAUAGAAUUGGUUUUGUGCAGUCAAGUAAUUGAGAUGCAUAUAUUGAUAUUGAGAAUUUGAAGCUUUUUUUUGGCGAUGUUCACUUCAUUAUUUUUCCAAUUAAUUGCUACUGAGUCAUUCACAAGUCUCUAUCACUCGUUAGUAUUACCACAAUCUUAGACCUGCAUGAAUGUAUAUAUGAUCAUCCAUGGAUCAUUGAUCCAGUAAUCUGACUUGCUGAAAAGAGAUAAGAGUGUGUUUGUUGUUUCGUGACACACAUUUGGUUCGUAGACUACAUUAAUAUAUGACAUGCAGGGUCAAAUCUAUGGAGUAUGGAGAAUCAUAUAUGGUCUCCUCUUUUCCUAAUCCUGGUGGAAGAGAGACUUUUCUCCUUGUUGAUUUAGGGUUAUAACUUAUAUAUAGCUUGCAAAAUCUACAUUACGAAUGCUACUACUUGAUUCAACCAUGCCGUCAAUCUCCACUGAGAAGCAUUAUUUUUGCAGUAGAGCGUUCCAAAGAGAUACCACAGAAGCAUUUGCACUUGGACCGCAGUUUCUUCCGAUCAACUUUUUUCUGAUCAAGGAGAUCCACAGUUGGCAUGAUGAUCCAACAGACAUUACUUAUGAGAGUUUGAUAGCUGCAACAAGAAGAACUUCAAUCCUGAUCACUGGUAUCAACCACAGAAAUGGAUAUGCAGAGAUUUUGGGCAGGCACCUUUCGAGAAUGGGAAUGCCACAAGAGGAGCAGCCAACUAUCCUGGAGAAACUGUUUCAAGUGGUUGAAGUGGCCAUCCCCAUGCGUCGCGUCUUUGUUUUGGUAGCUGAUGUGACUGUGCGCUUAUUGGGAAGUUUUGAUGAUCAGGACACCAUCGAUAGACUUACAAGGGAACAUCCCAUUUCAAAACAAUUUGAGUUUGUUCACGAGUUGGGCAUUGAGGAAACCUAUGGAUUGAGUGAGGCUGAUUAUCAUGAUAUCCAUGAUAUGGUUACAUGGGAAUCCUUUCAAACUCAUAGGGGAAAGUUUAUUCCUGCAUUUAGCUUGGAGAAAGUGAGACUUGGUAGUUUGGAAGAAGCUACUAUCAAACUUUAUCCAACAUGUGUUAUUUGUAUGGAUGACUUCGCAGAUGGAAGUGCCGAUCAGCUGGUUAUUCGUUUGCCCUGUGCAAACCUUUUUCAUGCACACUGCAUUUCCCAAUGGCUAGAGGUGAAUCGCGUGUGCCCCCUUUGUCGAUAUGCAAUAACAAAAGAGGUUGAUAUCGAACCCUCAGAAAUUAUCACUGAAAAUGUUGAGCCACCUGUGCACGAAGCUAAUUUUGAGCCGCAAGUACCUGAUCAACAACAGCUCGCAAAUGAAGUCCUAGUGCCAACCCAAGAAUCAAACUUUCAAGCUUCGAACUUGAACAAUGUCCAUGACAAUACUGACAACCUCAAUGCUAAUGUGAACCUAAAUGUCAAUUUCUCAUUCAAUGUUGAAUCUCAAGAUGAGGGUGAGGCCAUUGGACUUUCUCAAGACAAUGAAUUUGUGCUGGAACCAAAUAUUCAUGUAAAGCACAUAACGGAUCACUUGACGAAGAUGUUAACAACGUGUACGGAAACGAUGACGGGUUUAUUAUUUCGUGUAUUAAUAAUGUGUUGUUCAAAAAGUUAAUAAACUAAAAUUAUUAGUGACGAAAAGUUUCGUAUACCAUUUUUAAAAUUUUCCCUCAAUCUAAGAUCAAGCCAAGAGUAUAUAUGCAUGUACCUCAUGCAGACAAUGAUAAACCUCUACCUAGCCUAAUAAGCCUAUGAGUGACAUUUUAGUUCACAUUAUGUAAUCAUCCGAGUAUCCAACUAUAUUAUGCACCUAACAAUUUUCCAACCUCUACUUUUAUACUUCUAUAGUGUAAAUCUCAAUUGUAGUCCUCAACAAACAAUAGUCCAAGAUGUAUUUACAAAUGUGUUUAAUCGUGGAUCAUCAUGUUCGCAAUACUUAUAUUGUUAUUAUACAAUAUGAAAUUAUCACAACCCAUAAAAAUUUUACACUAGAGACGCGGUCUGUAUCACGACACAUGGUUCUUGGCAAAUAAUAGUAUCAAUGUAAUUAUGUCGAACUGGUUUUGAUCAGUGUAUUUCCGAAAAGUAAAUGAGGAUCAUGUUUAAAAUAUCAACAAGUAAAAGAGUUUCAACAAGUAAAAGAGUUUCACCAAAAAUCUAACAUCUUAUCCAGAUCAUGAGGACUGAGGUUGAUGAUGACCCAUUGUGCCAGGCUGCCAUUAGCUUCCCACUAAAAUUAUAUUAUUGUCAUAUCCCAACCAAAGAGAGCAAGUAAACAAGUGACCAAACCCAACUGACUGAUCUUCACCUUAUCUGUGUGCUAUCCUAUUCAUUUCCUUAUCCUCUUAUACACAAAAACAGACCUCUUCUGUUUCACUAGUGUAAGCACCUCAAAUGGCAGCCAUUAUCUCCUGCCACUCCAAAUUCUUAGGAUCCAACAUACCCUUUAACGUUGGCACUCGCUUCCCUGUUUCCCGCAACCAUUCUUCCCCUGCUUCUAUUCAAUGUCGGGUUCAGAACAACAAACAGGUGACGUUUUUGGGUUCUGAUCUUCUUCAAGUUCUAAUCUAUUGAAAUGUAUAUGUCAUUUGAAUACCCUUGAGUUUGGUUUUGAUUUUCAUUAUGCUCUGCAUUUUGUUCAAUCAAAGUAUGGGAAUUUAAGGAAUCUGUAGAAUGUGUGGACUUCUUCAUAGUAAAAUGUAAUGUUUAGCUCACUAAAUUGGAAGAGCAGUUCAUGAACUGUAGUGUUUAGUAAUUUUGGGUGUGUUCUAAUUUGUGCAAAAUUUGCUUGGAGAUAAGACCCACAUUGAACUUUCCCUUUAUUUUGAUGUGUUCUCAUCAUUUGUGCUCAAUGCAAUAAAUUGAAGAAAUGUGUAGAUUAUAUGGAUGAAUUCAUGAACUCGUCUUUAGUCUUUACUGUUGGGUGUGUUGUGCAAUGGUUGUAUGUAGCUAAGACACACACAUUGAUAGUGUUUGCUUGUUUCAGCAGAAAGGGAGUUCAUUUUCGAUAAAGGAGUGUGCGAUUUCGAUAGCUUUGACUGUAGGGCUAAUAACAGGAGUUCCUGCAUUGGAAUCAUAUGCAGCUACCCCAGUGCUGCCUGAUCUUGCCGUACUGAUAUCAGGGCCUCCAAUAAAGGACCCUGGGGCGUUGUUGAGAUAUGCUCUGCCUAUUAAUAACAAGGCUAUCAGGGAGGUGCAAAAGCCGCUUGAAGAUAUCACAGAGAGUCUCAAGAUAGCUGGGGCCAAGGCACUAGAUUCAACUGAGAGGGUAAUACAUCAAACUUGAUCUUUCUUUGUGUUUGUUUUUGGUUUGUUGAAGGAAUUAGAUGGUAACCGAGACUCUACUUUGUAUGUAGAAUUUGAGGCAGGCCUCUCGAGCACUGAAGCAGGGGAAGGCUUUAAUUGUGUCUGGAUUAGCUGAAUCAAAGAAGGAUCAUGGUGCUGAAUUGCUUGGCAAGUUGGAAGUUGGAAUGGAUGAGCUCCAACAGAUUGUGGAGGAUAAAAAUAGAGAUGGGAUUGCUAAGAAACAGAAAGAACUAUUACUCUACGUUGGAGGGUGAGUACAUGGUAGAAGCAUUUCUUAUGCAUUGGGGAAGGUUUACUGUCUUAUUUCUUUAGGUGAAACUAAUAGGCUAGAGCGAGAUAAGUAUGUGACCUCUAAAGAAGCUCAUUUCAUAUGGAAAGAAGAACUUGCAAACUUUAUGCAUGUGUCCAUGUAAUUGAUUUUUGGGCUGUAGCAUAAUUCACCGUCUCACUUUCCAUAUAUGUCAUUGAGAGGGUAUUCUGCAUUUUCACUGUCAAUAGAAGUCCAUAUUUCAGAGUUCCUUUAUAGAAGUCUUGAGUUCCAAAAUGUUUGCGUUACAUUACUGGUGAUGAGUACUUUUAGUACUUGGAGUGAUAUAGCACGAUUACUGACCCUCAGGCUUAGGAGCUGGUAUUGUAAUUUAUUAGGAAAAGCACCAUCUAUGCCCUGAUGAAGAGUAGCUCAGAGAUGUUUAAGUACAUGAGAUUGUAGUUGUGACAUGUCUAGUCUCAUAUAUACCCUUGUCAUUGACUGCAGCUGAGCUCUUCCUGGGGAAUUGGAUUUCUGCAGUGUUGAAGAGGACAUGGUGGACGGAUUCCCUUAUGAGAUUCCCGAAGAAUACCAGAGCAUGCCUCUAUUGAAGGGGAGAGCAACUGUGGAUAUGAAGGUCAAGGUUAAGGAUAAUCCUAACCUUACUGACUGUGUCUUUCGUAUCGUCCUCGAUGGUUACAAUGCUCCUGUAACUUCUGGGAACUUUGUAGACUUGGUGGAAAGACGCUUUUAUGAUGGCAUGGAAAUCCAAAGAGGUAAAUCUCACAGCACAAGUGUGUGUGUGUGUGUGUAUAUUUUUCGUAUAUCAGGCCGGAUGUGGAGCGCAUGUCUGCACUGGCUUAAAGUGCGCACGUCCCUCCGUUCGCCACCGUCUGGCGCCGACGACGGCACGCCUCCACCCCAGCGGACUCCAGCAGCGUCCCCGAGCACUUUCCCUCCCCAGCGAGUCCGCCGAAUUCUAGUUUCCGGCGAGAUCAACUUUAUUUGAAGUUUUGGGUGAUCUCACUAGAAAACUGGAAAAGAACGGACUCGCUGGGGAGGGAAAGUGGUCGGGGACGCUGCUGGAGUCUUCUGGGGGGAGGCGCGCCGUCGUUGGCGCCGGACGGUGGCGAACGGAGCUCCGUGCGCACUUUAAGGACUGUGCACGCGCUUUCUAUCGUUUUUGUGUAUAUAUAUAUAUACACACAGCUGAUCAGGUGCGGACGUCCGCACCAAAAUUUUUGGUGCGGAUUUCCAUUUUUUGCACCACUUCCCGAUUGAAUUUCCUCAAACUUCCUUCUAGACAUAUCUAGAUCAUCUUUGCAAAAUUUCAGCCAAUUUGGUGAUCGUUAAGGCCCUCAAACUUGCGUUUUUCUGUUAUAUACCUGAACCGGACAGAAUACAGGCCGUCGAUUUGUUUUUCGAUUUUGAGGGCCUUAACGAUCACCAAAUUGGCUGAAAUUUUGUAGAGAUGAUCUACACAAGAUGAUCUAGAUAUGUCUAGAAGGAAGUUUGAGGAAAUUCGAUCGGGAAGUGGUGCAAAAAUUCGAUCGGGAAGUUUGAGGAAAUUCGAUCGGGAAGUGGUGCAAAACUUUGGUGCGGAUGUCCGCACCUGAUCAACAUUGUGUGUGUGUGUGUAUAUAUAUAUAUAAUAUUAGUUUAAGUGUCUUUCCUUGGUACUUGCUGGCUUAUCUUAUAGAUUUUCAUCGUCUUGAUUGCAGCGGACGGAUUUGUCGUUCAAACUGGUGAUCCUGAAGGACCUGCAGAGGGUUUCAUUGACCCAAGCACUGAGAAAAUCAGGACCAUACCCUUAGAAAUCUCUGUGGAUGGAGAGAAAGCACCCUUUUACGGAGCAACUUUGGAAGUAAGAUUCCUCCUCUCUAGUCACUCCCUCUCUCCCUUUGUGUAUGUGUGUUUAUGUUGAUUGAUUGCAUAUGUGUUAUGGAUGAAAGCUGGAAACAAUAAGAACCAAACCCAAUAUAAAAAGUCAAAGUAGAAGACAUCAACCCUAAUUGUCUGUGUGACUGAUCUUUAUCAAGCAGUAUAUCUGGAAAUGAUCUCAGUGGUUUUGACAUUGAUAUAUUUUGCCAGGAACUCGGGCUAUACAAGGCUCAGACAAAGCUUCCAUUUAAUGCAUUUGGAACAAUGGCAAUGGCCAGAGAUGUAAGAACCAUUUCUCUUCUUCGAGUGUAUAUCUUUUCUCGGAUUGAUUUGAUUGCUAACCUAGAGUAGCUCAUUAUUUUUGUUGACAGGAAUUUGAGAACAAUUCUGCUUCAAGCCAGGUAUUUUGGUUACUAAAGGAAAGUGAGUUAACUCCCAGUAAUGCCAAUAUAUUGGAUGGUCGAUAUGCAGUGUUCGGCUAUAUUACAGAAAAUGAGGACUUUUUGGCAGAUCUCAAGGUUGGUGAUGUUAUUGAGUCUAUCCAAGUUGUUUCUGGCCUGGAAAAUCUAGUGAAUCCAAGCUACAAGAUUGCUGGCUAGCCAAAAGCCUUCGUCUACUUAGGUGCCCUCAUAAGGUCAUUUCAACAAAUUUCUUCGAGGAUUCCUUCUGUUAAUGUCUUCCAUUUGCUAGUGUAAGUUAAUACAAGGCAACCAUUUAUAAGUCCAUCAUCUCUAGAGAAUUGUACCAUUUUCAUUGACGGAAAUCAUGUCCAGGUUAUGCCUAUAUGUAACAGCUUUUUACGAUUUGUAUCAUUACAAAAAACAUUUCAUCAGCAGAUUUUUAUUUUUUUCGAUACAAGCAGAAAUAAUUUUCUUUAUUGAUUUCCAGAUGUUGUGGUUACAUAUAUUGCACUACCAAAACGGAUCUCGCAUAUGGAACCAACCUUCAAUGCAAUUGAUUCAUGUAUUUGUUAGCCUCUGGUUCAAAGUUCAUUUUUAAUGACAGAAUAGAGACGUAGAGAUCCACUGAAAUUGAAAGUUUGAAACCAUUUGCCGAUCAAAGGGAUGGAUUAGUGCAUUGUGCGAGAGCCAGACAUGUAAAGCUCUUAGUCUGUUAGUCAUAAUCAGAAGAACAUCCUCGUGAUCCUAUUAAUUCAUGUAUGGAAGCUCCGCUAAAUGGUCAAUUUACUCUUAAGUAAACAUCUUGUGAAAUUACAUGCAUUUCCAUAGAUUGAUAGACAGGAGAUUAACUUAACAAAAAGAAAGAAAAGCUUUACAAAUCUAUAGUCCAACAAAGCAACAGAUAGUGCAGAGCUCCUCUUAGCCUACAGCCUCCACAAUUUGUAUUCACUUGACUCUUCUUAAUACUCAGAUCUAUCCAAUUCAAUAAUUUGCAGAAUAAUUCCACGCCCCAUAACCUCUCUUGCACCACAAUGAAGGAGAAGAUCUUUCAGGGUCCUCGGUACCUGCGGAAGCAGAGACAACCCUGAGGAUGAUCAUGAGGGAGCAUACCUCCACCUUUAGUUGUGUCGACUGCCUCCAACAUUACUACCACCUCAUCCAUCUCGGGCCGCUUGUCAGGGUUAGCAUCCCAACAUCGCUUCAUAACAUUCGCAAGAGCGCUUGGGCAACAACGAGGUAUCUCGGGCCUCAGAUUCUGUAGUUCCAUAUAGAAGUGUGAGAUCUAUUUUAGCUUUGGACUUAUAAUAAUGACUCAUUAGAACGAUGUUACUAUAAGUGGCUACGAGUUGAUAAUCAUUCAAAAAGGUGUUCAAAGUUUUCAUGCAUCAGUUAAAUCUCAACUAGUAUAAAAUAUCUACCUGGCGGACAACAGCUGAUGUCACCUCCGAGAAACUAAGAUCAGGAUACGGCAUGUCGCAGCAGUAUAUUUCCCACAAGCAUAUGCCAAAACUGUACACAUCGCAUUUCCUAUUAUAUGGGUUGCCAUUGAGAACCUGCCCCAACCCAAGUCAAUGACAACAAAUCAGAAACAGAAGUGUUGAGGAUUUGAAGGAAACUAUUUUUUGAAUGUAACAUAUUAUCUGCAAAGGAGCUUAUUGAUCAAUAAAUGAAUGUGAAGCACUGAAAUCUGAAUCGAGCAACUAUGAGUUUUGGAAUGAAGAGCCAUGAAUCAUGAGAGAUGAAACAAAAAAUGCAGCAAGCGAAUUUUCAAGUGCCUGGUUACAUGCUAUACCCAUAAAUAUGAGAGGGGCAAACUCCCCACACAAUCUAGCAUGUAUACAUGAGAUGCAUGAUAGAGUGCUGAGGUUCAUGGAAAAUUUCAUAAUAAAGUUGAUCUAAGUAACAUACCUCAGGAGCCAUGUAACCAAGGGUUCCAGUCUCGCCUGUCAUGUCAUUAGGAUUUGAGGCCUCCACACGAGCAACCCCAAAGUCAGCUAUUUUCACAGUACGUGUCUUGUCCAGAAGCAUGUUUUCUGUUUUAACAUCUCUGUGAACAAUCUUCUGUGAAUGAAGAUAGCCUAAACUGCAGAAAUAGAAAGAAUGGCCGAAUGAGUUAAUAAUAUAAUAGCAAAUCAGUAACUGAUAUACAGCAGCCGAUAAAUGGAAGAUUCUAACUAAACCCAAAGUCCAGAGAAGGAAACAUAUAAUAUAUAGAUAGAGUCUGCGAAUAUAACCCUCGUGCAAGAUCUAGUGCCAGUUGGACAACUACUUUGAAAGCCAACUUCUUUCUGCGGUUCUUUAUGAGGUAAGAUUUCAGUGCACCACCAGGACAAUACUCGACAACAACACAACAAACAUUACUUGGCAUGCCAACCUGGCCAUUGUCUGUUUGUAUGUUGAGCUCUGAUGUUCCCAUUGUCGCUCCUAUAAACUGCAAAUAAUUGGGCAUGAAUUCACUAGCAAUGUCAGCAUAAGCAUCCCAAUUCGUAUUAUAAGAAUCAACCCCCCGCAAGUUUGUAGGUGCUGGACCCAUUUUGAGAACUAAGAUCCACAUUUAAAUUUCAUCUUGUUUCAACACAUCUUUAGCCAUCUAAUAUUAUGGAGAACGACAACAGGAAAAUAAAAUUUCAUCAUACUGAGGCCUAACUAAGUGUGAACAACAAUAACUUUAUGAAAGUUUCCCGAUUAUGACUUUUCAACUGAGUGCAGCAUUAAAGCUUGCAUUGUUUGAGAGUGAAGACAUGGAAACAUUACCUUGGUUACAUUAGGAUGAUCAAGCUUAUGCCAGACAGCAACUUCUUGAGUAAAAGCUGCUCUUAGAGAAGCUAUUUCAGCAUCAGAUCUAUGGCCCUCUUCUCCCCAAUCCAGAAGUUUAACUGAGAUUUGAAAGAAAUAAACUUCCAGUUAAAACAUAUAGUUCUAUGAUACAGGCCUACUUAUGAACCCACCAAAAGAACAGCUCUCAAUUUCUAAAACAACCGCAUUUCAACAAUCAAUAAAUAAAAAAUGGUGCAUAACGCUGAAGCUGAUGUGACAGUUACCAUAUAAAACAUCAACCAUUCAUGCAAACAUAGUUAUAAUAUAGCUUUCCCAGCAGACCUGGACUAUUAACUGGUGUUUUGGGUAUAAUCACUUGAAACAACAGUUUUCUGAGUUAUUAAGAUGACAAUUUAUUCGACGGUUAAGUAAAUAGACACUGCGGUAAGCCAAAAUCUUUUAUGCAACUGGUUUCAAGUCUCCAACUUUUUGUCUCCACAGACUGGUGUAUACCAAGUGCACAUCUAUAACAAAUAGACAAAGUGCAAUUAAUACAACCAACUGCCCAGUGUUCCCAGUCCGUGAAUCACGGACCUGGUGAGGCAAAGGGUCUAUCACAAGCCAGCCACUCUAUGAUGAGUGAGAAAAGCACAAAAGAACAUUUUCCCUUUUAGUUCUAGACAAUUAAAGUCAGAUAUAUGCAGAAGAAGAAGGAAGAAAGACACAAUCUUUGCAAGUGUUCAACACUUCCCACAUCAAAGAACAGAGAACAUAACUAACAAGCACUACUAAAUGCAGUCCAACCCUUCACCAACCAACCUUGAAGCUUAUAUGAUUACCAAAUAAUAGCCUUUGUUGGAUCAAGAAAGACUCCAAUUCAAGAGGACUUAUAAGUCAUUUACCACCCCAAAAGACAAUAAACUCUAAUUCCUCUAGAGAAAAAUGCUUCAAAAACAGCUAUUAGACAAAACAAGAAAUUUCAAUCUCAAAGACUCCAUCAAAGAAAUUGCUAAAAGCUUGAAACUUCAUCACAAAUGACACCUCUAGAAAACAAAGGCUGAUAUAUGCAUGCAAACCAUUCAUCAUCAAAACCACAUAGCUUUCGCAAGAAAGAUCGAAAAUGGGUGCCAACAAAGUUCAUGCUUUACACUCCAGAAAUAAUGAAAAGAGUGGAAACUACUCAAACUAAUCAACUUUACCGGCGACGUCUAAGCCGUCGUAAAUGCCGCGGUGGACGGUGCCGAAAGUGCCUCUGGCUAUAGCUCCCUUGACGGUGAGCUUGGAAGGAUCAAUCUCCCACUCCUGCCUCCUGGUGGGCCCCACCGUCACCCUCCUAGCUGCUUCUGUUUCCCGUUCUUGUUCCUGUUCUUGCUCUUCUCUGUUCUUGUUCUUCUCCAUAGUCCAAGCCCUGCCCAGAUGCUUCUGCAGCUGCUCGUCCAAGCUCUUCAGAUCUAUCUGGUCCGCCCUCACAUACGCACCUCCGCCUCCUCCGCCGCCGGUGUCGUUCUUCUCCUUCAUUUUUGUUUCAGGCUAUUGAUAUCCAAACACAGAGACAGACCCUUAUACUUGAAAGGGUUUCUGUUUUGGUUUGUUUUAUGUGUGUUCUGUGGAGACUAGAGAGAAGUGUGUCUGUAUACUUGUGUCGUGCUUCUGUCUAUUAAUGGUGUCACCGAGACUAGAUGAAGAAGUAGUAGAAAUACUACUACGAGUCUACAACUGCUCUGCUCUGGUUCUCUCACUAUCUUCCAUGUGGGCACAUGGAUUUUGCCUGAAGACGACGUGUGUUUCUGAUCCACCUCACUCUCUCCUCUCUCNNNNNNNNNNNNNNNNNNNNUCUCUCUCUCUCUCUCUCUCUCUCUCUCUCUCUCUCUCCAUCUCCAUUAUUAUUGUUUUCACAUUUUGACAGUCAACAUGCAUUUCUUUCUUCUUCACUUUUUAUUUUUCAUAUAUAUAUAUAUAAAUAGAAAUAAAUAUAAAGAUUUUCUACCGUUUUCGAUUAUGACCUCUACAAUAUACAUGUAUAAAAUGAGAGAUGUGCUAUUCUUGCUAGAGAACACGAGAGUUGGAUAUAUUUGAAAAAAGAAAAGUCUAGCCUGUUCUGGUAUGAUUUUAGCAGAAUGUGUUUGUAUUAUAAUCGAUCAUCACAAUUUGUACCCUUAUAACAAUUAUUCUGUUUUCUUCAAAAUUUUCUACGUAUGAUAAAUUAUAGAUAUUUAAAAUAAUGAGAUGAUAAUGUAAUAGAUAUAUAUUUUCUGGGGUGAUUGUGUUACUCACUUUUUGGUCAACAUACAAGUCACAUGGUGGAUAUAAUACCACAAUGAUAUUAUUUCUUAUUUGAUGACUGCAAACCCAUUUUCAGAAAUACCAGCUACUUAUUCUGCUUCUCCAUUUUUAUACAAAAAGCUUAGAGAACAAGAAUCCUCAAUCCCAAAAAUAAAAUAUUACCUCCCUGUCCUCCCAAGUCCCAACUCUCAGAAUCAGUUACGGUUGUUACGGUUGGCAGAGAUAUUUAUGGUCAAAAGUGGAAACCAUGGUUGGCAUGGAAGAAAAUAGAACCUGGGUCGAGCUAGUGGUCAAUGUUUUGUCUAUACCAAUUCGGGUAUGUUCGGUUUCACGACUGAGCAACAUAUCUGGCUCAUAUAAGAAAGGUUCCAUUUUUGGGUGCGUAGUUUCAAAUCUAACAAAGGAAACAUGAUCCCUCAAGGUUUUAGCUUCUUUGCUGUGACUGACCCCAAAAGUAGUAAAGCUAUAUGCAAUGGCAAUCAAUCAGGAAAAUGCACAAUGCUUGAUUCUAGUUCAUCCUCAGGUUCAAUCAGUAAUAGUUUCACUUGAUAUUGCGAUAUCCUGAGCUCAACAUCAACAAUGCGCUUAACAGAAUCGGAUACUCACGGUAAGAUUUCACAAAAUGAAGCGCUUUCGAAGUAUGAACAAGAAGAGUAUUGAGUUGUUACAAACAAAAGAUAUUUCAUCCUUUAUCUGUAAUACAGUUCAGUGCUAGCUUUCCAAUAGAUCAGUAGCCGGUUGCUAUUGUUGAACAUAACAUCACCAUGCAUGUGAAGCCCUACACUUUUUGACUUAAAUGAGCAUCAAAAGGAGAGAUCACUGGUAAUAUAGUCACGAGGAGGCAAGAGAAGGAUAAUAGAUUGAAUGACCCGUGAUUCCAGGUCCAAAUUCAUCUUUACCAGAUGGCCACUGUGAGUUACAACUAUUUUCAGACUACAUUUCAUGCCGACAUGAACAUGUUUGUCCAGGAAAUAGAGCAUCAACUAAGGAUCCGAAUCCUUUGUAACAGGGACCAAAAGCCCUUUCACUUCAUUGUGGCAUAAAUAAGUUUACAAAAUCGCGCCUUGUAACCAAAACAUACUUGCGCCUUUGGGGGUAUAAUCCCAUAUCCAGAGUUAGGGACUGGUCAUCAUCUAUACAAAAUAUAUAUAUCUAACCUGGUCGAGUAAUAUUUGUCAUGAUAAGUUGUGAGAAAAGAAAUAUCAUCCAACCAACAAUGCUUCCAUGGUUAGAAACAACGAGGGCGUUUCUUUUUCUCUGGAGUGGGACAUACUUGUGCCUUGAUCCCAUAUGUUUUCAGCUGGAAGUUUUCAAAAGCCUCAGAGAUUGGCCCAACCUGUACAUUAUAUUGAGAUUUGUCACUGGAAGGAAACAAUAGUGAAAAGAAACUGAUCAAAUUGAGGCAACAUAUAAAUUGAUAUACCAGCUCAGGCUUUUUCGAAUAGACCCUCACUAUCAAAUCUUGAUACGAUGUAGGAAGCAAGUGACUAAUGCGAUCAUCACGUAUUGGGAAUUUCUCCUUACUUUCAUAGUCCUGAACAGAAAUCAAACUUGAUUUGAUGAUGCAAAGAAACGUACAACUUAUUCAAACCACCUAUGUGCUUCCUACAGCUAUCAGUUCCAUAAAACUCGGAACUCAGAAGUAGUUCAUUUUUACUCAGUAAAGGUAAAAUACAUCCAAUAGUACAAAAAAGAUAAAAUAAACUCAGAAGGGUAAGUGGGGUACCUGGAAAAAGCUGAUACUGGAAGAGAUGCAUGCAGAAACAGGAGAGAAGAAGAGUUAAAUGAUGAACACCAAAGUGCAGAACAAAUAGCUUGUUAAAGAAUAUCAGGUUACCUUUGAAGGGGAUUUUGACUUCCACGAGUCAAAUCAAUCUUGAUGUUGGUAACAGCAACAUCCUCCUCUUUCAAUAUAACACCUCCAUUUUUCUGUUACAAAAGUAAGAGGAGAUAAAGGAAAAACAGCAAUGAAACGAUAGCGGCCUGUUGUAAUUAAGCAAGCUUAAGUUGGAACCUGAGAACAAACAAUAUCUUGAGCAGUGACUUUUUUGAAAUGUUCCAUUUGCUCCUUGGGUACGGCAUACUCAUUGCAGAACUGCCAUCAAGUUAUGUCAACCCACAAAAAGUUAAGACCUAUGAUUUUUCAGUGUACAGGAAAGAAUUAAACAGAGAAUUUUAAUCAGCUAACCUGAUAGAGAUUUCUCCUCCUAAUGCGCAGGAUUAAGUCCCUAGCUUCCUUCAGCUCUUCAUUUGGAGCUGUCUCAAUAGUUUUGAUUAUUGAGUCAUCUAACUGCAUUUGAACAACUCCAAGUCAGAAUUCUAUGUGAAAGCACUGAACUAUACCUAAAAUAAAACUUAGUUUUUGGACUCUUGAAACCUUCCAAUAUUCAGCUGGAUCCUCAAUGUGAGAUGAUAUCUGUAGAUAAUCAUUUGCUUUCACCAGGGCAUCCACCACCAUAAGCUCUAUGGCCUACAAAUGGUAAAAUGUCAGAAAAUUUUGAAAUCCUAAUAACUUCAAACAAGGUCAAUAAAAGAAAUAGACUGCAAAAACAAAAAUGGGAGAUGUAUGGGAGCUAAAGAGAAACAUAUGAGUGAAGAACUCUGUUUUAUACCUUUACUUUUGGAUGUGUAUAAACUGUUCGAUACAAAUCCGCUCGAGUGACAAAUAAUUUGUGGACAGUGAGAUCUAGAAUAUUGAGCAACCAUCAGCAGCAGAAAAGGGAAGUAUAAUAUAAAUGUAAUUAAUUUGGCAAACCACUUACACUCCUUAGCACGGUAGCAGAUCUCACCAUCCAAAACACGCAUUGUUUCCAUUAAUCUGCAAGAGCAGUAAAAUAUAUGAAGCUAGAGAAGAUUGUCCCUAUAUUACUUUACAUUCAGUUGAUAUUACACCAAUAGUAGAAAAGUUUAACUUUAGUUCAUCCAACCUUUUAAACUCAAAGUUGCAUCCAAGCCCACAAGCUCUGCUGUCACGGACAAUAUAAUCAAACCUGUGAAUCAUUAAUAUAUCCAUAGCAUUAGAUUCCAUGAAGAAAGACACAUAAACCGACAUAAAUUAGAGUUCAGAUGAGCAAUACAAGGGAUGAAACCUUCAACAGUCACUUACUUGUCCACAUCAAUACCAUUACGGCCAUUUGCCACAAUUUCAUACAGAAAAGGCUUCUCCCUGGAUGUCUACAUCAAAUAAAACAAUAAGAGACAAAUGUUACAGACAUGAUGACAAAGAGUUGCAUCAAAUGAGCAAAAUCACACUAAUACUUAUUUCGACACAUCUUACUAUUGGCAUAGCAGUUCCAGAAGCAAGUAUCAUCUCCUGCAGAGGGAAAACAAAAAUCAUUGAUUUCGAAAAAGUAAAUCUAAGUUUCCUUGUCAUAGACUCAUAAGCAGACUUUUCAAUUAAACAUCCUUGUGUAUUAAGUUUUAAAAAUCACAAAGAACUUCAAUAAUAUAUUCUAUUAUUAAUGAUUCCUCAGUUUGGGGGCAUUAAUUUACAUACCUUAACUCUUUUAAUCAUCUCAGGGUCAAUAUCAAUAUGAUGCUGAUUAACAAUGUGGUCAAUCAUCUUAACUGACAUAUCCUCAUGAGACCUAGAACAACAGAAAGUACAUGUAUGAGAUUCAACAAACAAAAAUUUGUUUCACAAAACCACAAAGACAUAUAAUGCUAAAGCACGUCCCAAUGACAGGUUAGUUUUCCUCUUGUCAUUUUAUGAUGAGAAACAGCACAACAGAACUUUCCCAUAUAGGAUGACAGUGUAUAACAUACCAAUGGCAGCCACUCUGAACCCGUGGAAGAAACUCGCGUUCAAACAAGUGACUGAAAGGUCCAUGACCAACAUCAUGCAAUAGACCUACAAUUUAAGUGAACAACAAUUAUCAGAUGACUAAAAAACAGUGGACACAACAUUUAGAAAACAGCUGUAUUCACCUGCAAUUUUUACCGUCUGGAGAUCAAAGCGGUCGAUAUCCAGUUCAAGACCCUGUAAACACACAAACAUAUAUAAGACUUUAAAGAAAGUUCUGGCAUUCUGUAAUUCUUGUUUCACAGUACCCAAGUAACAUAAAGUACAGCUUCAUACCUGAUAAUUUUUGAGCCCCUGAACAGCUUCACCAGCAAGCCAAUAGACACCGAGCGAAUGCUCAAACCGGGAAUGCACAGCACCAGGAAAAACUGAGUUCGUCACUCCUGACACAUUUCAAAACAUACAUGUAACUGAUGUAAGCACAUAGCAAGUUCAAUGCAAUGACAUAGAAAUCUUCAAUAAUCACACGAAGCCAACACACUGUAUUUGGUAGAAGUUCAUAUACAACUUAAAUACUUAACAAUCCUAAUCAAAAACAUCCUGAAGCCAUAUGCACAUCACAAUUGUGCAUGCCGCGCAUACUUGGAACAACAACAAAUAUGCCAGUGAACAGAACUUGUAGACAUUAACUACACGAGCACUAACUGUUCAUCAAAAACACUUGGACACACGACAUAUACGAUAACAGACCAAGGAAACGGCAUAAAACUCACCGAGUUGUUUCAGGUCUCUAAGCCUGCAAAAUCGGACAAGCCAAAGCAGAAAAUUGAGACCGUUAGCAAAUGGCAACACACCACAACAAUGUCAUCAAACCAAUACAAAAAGAACCCGUAUUUAUUGAUACAAAAACUCACCUCUGAAACUCCUCAGUAUCAAUAAAUUUCAAAGAAAGCUGCACCCACAAAUCAAAAAAGAAAAGUACAUAACUUUGACAAUUGCCAACCAUUAAAAAUUCCCAAAGUUUCAAUCUUUUCCAAACCAACCAAGUCAAAAACCACUGUACUAUAAAAACCCAUAUCUAAAUUAACAAAGCUAUAAACUUUGUUCACAAAAUCUCAAUGGGGUGAAAUAGAAGGAGUACCGGAUCGAGAUAAAUGUUGCCGUGGACAUUGUCGUGGACGUGCUUGGAGAACCGGAGGUCUUGGCCGGAACAGUAUAUCGGAGACAACAAAACGCCGUCGUUGUUGUAAGCCCCCAUUGCUAGUGGGUGAAGAGAACAAGGUCAGAGAUGAAACACACAACAACAACAACAACAACAAUAGUAAAGGAAAGACAGUGAUUAAGAUUAGAGAGAGACAUAACUCACCGGUUCCAAAAAAAAUGGAAAGACAGAAGAAGUUGUGCCGCCAAAAGCAAGAGGUUGUUAAUUGAUGACAGAGAAUAUUGGUUUUUACUUGAUUUGAUUUAUUUAUUACCGCUGGUCCUCUCUCUAGGGCUUUUGGUUUGACGCAGGUUGUUGCAGUGAAGGAGAGAAAGAGAGAGAGAAAGAGAGAGAGUUGUAGAGGGAGAGUCAAAGGAGCAUGUGUAAAAAUUACAUCGUCGUGUCCUGCACUAACACUUUCUAGUUUGUACAAGCAUGUGUAAAUAUCCUGUAUCAUAAGCCCUACACGUGCAAAUAACUCACCCCACCACCAAUUUUUCACACACCUUUUCAAUUCUAGAUUUUUUGUAACAACGGAUUCAAUGUGAUUGAAUUAUGUAACAACGGAUUCAAGGUGAUUGAAUCAUGUUUUCAUUGUGUAACAGUUAGUAACAUUCGCAAUGGAAUUUGUUUUCGGAAUUUAUGGCAAUUCAAGUGAUAGUCUAAUUUCCAGUGUAUAAAUAGCAACAUUUUCUCUUGUUCUAAACACACCAGCUCAGUUUAAAUUCUCAAUAUUUGUAAUUAAUUUUUAUUUAAUAAAAAAAUAAUAUACUUAAUAUUAUCCAGCGGUCUAUUCUUGUUUAGUGUAAGUACACAUCUGGUGUUGUAUUCUCGUUAAAAUAUAUAAUUAUUAGGGUAUACAUAUUGAAUCUAAUCCAUGAUAAAAUAAACAUCUUGAUAAAAUAUUCUGACACAAAUUGGUAUGUAUAUCAAUUUUGGUUCAGUUUGAACUAACAUUUUAUGCAGAUCCUUUACAUGCUCGUAUGUGUUCAGUCUAUGUUUAUAUUUCUCAUAUGAAUAAUAUGACUGACCAACAGCAUCAUGUGUUCUUAUUGUAUUGUGUUGUCUUAAGUUUAAUGGAGCUUAUUUUGUGUUCGUGUCAUAUAAUACUAACGUCAGAUUUAAAAGGGACGAUAUAAUAUUUACAAAGUUUCAUAGAGGCUUAAAAUGAAAAUGUCAGAUUUGAACUCUUCAUUCCACAAUUUACACACUCAUUAUUUUUCCGUAAAUCUUGAAAAUGAAGCAGAGUGAAUGUAGAUUGUAAAAUGGGACGGCAUCUCCCAAGCUGGAUAAGAUAACGUAUAUAAACGAUAGGCCAAUCAAUGAUCGACGAGAUUACCUUCCACUUUUGCAGCACAACCAUGGAGGUUGUAGCAUCCACACUUCCCUCUUCAUCUCUCAAACUCAAACCCAACCCCACUCCCCAAAUCUUCGUCACCAAAAGCCAUCUCUGCAACACCACCGGCAAACCCACCUCACCUUCUCUGCUUUACAUUGGCCAAAUCUAUGGCGACACUAGCAAACCCAACAGGUCCUCCACUGGCUUCUUCUCCGUCAAAGCUUACGUCGACAACCCCAACUCCAUCUCCAGCUUCGCCAGCAAAGUCAUCGGCUCUCUUCCCGUAGUUGGAUUAAUAGCUCGCAUUCUAAGCGAUGAGGGAGGCAUUGGUGGUGAGAUUAUUGACUUUGCUGAGUUUCGGAGAAGGGUUGGGAAGAAGUGCACCGUUACUGACUCUAGAGCUUUUUAUGAGUUCCAAGAACGACGAGGCCGGGUAAGUAUGAAGAUGAAACUCUUCUUGUUAUGCUUGUAUGAAAAUGUGAGGGCUUAAAGUUUGAGUGUUGAAAUGUGGUGGCUGCAGGCAGGGGAUCCUCUGUAUGUGCUAAUGUGCUGCUAUGUAGCUGCGGUUGGCGCUGGUCUUCUCAAGUCUGAAGAGAUUCUAGAAGGCGCCGCGAGGCUGAGGGUUUCGAAUGAUAUUGAGUUUGAGGAGCAAAAUUUCAUUGCCUUGAUGAAUGAGGCAAAAGAGGUUAGUUAGUUAUGUCACUUGUGUGCAUUUUAUUUGAGUUGAGCUUAGGUACUUGUUAUGGUGCAAUGGUUUAGUUGUUUGUUACUGAAAUUGAUGUAUGAUUGUAUGUAGAGAAGGGCAAAGAUAAAGGCUGAGACACAAGUUAUUCCAAUGGAGAAUCGGGUUGAGAAAGCGCUUGAGGCGAUUUACAUAUGUUGCUUCGGGAGGGAUCCAGUAGAAGAGCAAGAUGAGAAUCUGCUAAAUGUGAUGCUCAAGGCUGUGUUUCCAUCCGUUGAAAAGUCCGAGAUACAGCGGAUUAUCAAAGGAAAGGCACAGAAGGUAGCUGAAGGCGGUGAUGAUGGCAGAUUCCCGGAGCCAAGGCCCUUGUCGAAAGAGGCUGUUAAGAUGCAAAUGAAGGACCUCGAGUUCCUCCAACAAAAUAGAGACAACUGAACGUAGUAAGCGAAUUCUAGAAUGAGAAACUGCAGCAUUUUCGCUACAGAAUCUCACUAAAAUAGAACGAAAUUGGUCUCAGAAAUUGUAUUAUCCAUGAUUGAACAAAACAAAGAGUGCUCUUUAUUAUGGAUUUGCCUGUUUUAUUUGUAUUUUUGAACCAUAGUGACACAGGUACAUUAUUAGCAAUAAGAAUAGAGCAGAAACCAAAUAGCAAUAAGAAUUGAGCAGAAACUCGCUUGCAUAUUAGCUGUAACUCCUGUAAGCAUAAUAUUAUCUCAUUACAAUGAGAAAGUUAAAACCAAGCAAGCUCCCCUACCCUCUUACAAUACGUGAAUGGCAUACUAACUGAGCAGCAUGCUGGAGUUAAAACAAUCAAGCAGCAUAAACAGCCUAGCUCCCUUGUAAAUUAGACUCCCCUAGAAAUAGCUUCAACAUUUCUGCUAAGCUUUACAUGUUCUUAGGCAUCAUUUUACGACCAAUCCAGAAAACUGAACCUUUAAUGUUUCCAAACCUUUAAGAAUUGCAAGGUAUGUGAAGGCACCUUCAUCUAAACGUUACUACUUAUCGACAACACUAACCAGUUCAUAUUCAACCGAAGACAUAUUGUUAUCUUCCUUGACAUUGAAGCUACCCGGUUCGGCCACUUCUACUCGACCCCACUUGUCCACAGCAAGCCUCAUAGAUCCCUUGAACAUGUCAAUUUUCGCAUUCCUCAAAAUCACGGUAGCACCAGGGUUCAUCAUGUCCACUGUCACAUACCAAAGUUCAUGUUACAGUAUGAACAAAACUCAACCAAAAGAUGCAUUCCAACCUCAAAAAGUUGCUUGUGAUUCAAGAAACCCAAUGCAUCAACAAUUUCUCUAUCAUUUUAUACAUAAUUGAUCAAAAUGCAGAAAACAAAAAUGGAUACCUUGUUCAUUUCUAGCGGUGAAAACGAUGGUUCCGGUUUCGUCUCCAACCAAGCAUUCAGCAAUUUUCAUCUGACGAACUUGGAUCCCAUCAGGACGGGCCUUCUGCAACACCAUCUUCGAACUUACCACUUUUACAAUCAGAGUGUGCCCCUUGGUGUCCGGCUGCAGCUGCAUAACCUUUUUAAAAACAGGUUUCCUCUUUUCUGGUUUUGUAUCCGCCAUUUCUAACCAAACUGUUACAUAGACAACAAAAUACAAACACAUAAACAAAUGCAAUAUCAGAUCACCCUUUACAUGGUCUCAUUUAGUACGCAGAUCACCACCAAUGUUAAUGAACAAAACAAAGAAAGAUAGUCGAUGCUACAAGCUUUGGAAAUUACCUUUUACUGAGAGAGAGAUGACAAAUUGUUAUUGCAGAUUCAGAGAUAGAUACAGAUAGAAAUGGAUGCCAAGUUGUGGCCUAUGUUUCACACUAACAUGCAGUGGUGGAAUAUAAUGAGAAUUUGGUGAUCGACGAAAUCGCCUCUUGAAACGGAAGUUUAAUGGACGAAGGGUCGUUGAUCUUCCACAUUUUAUGAACAAAUCUCAUCCCUACACCUCUCCAAAACAACUGCACUUCCGGUCCAGAAUUGCAUCAGUCAUGACUUGAAAUUUGUUCUCCACGUUUUAUUCAUUAUUUACUUGAAAUUUUAGGUGUUAAAUGGCCAUUUUGUUAAGUGACAGUCCUUUGUUCCAUGUUAUGCAGAAAAUCCAAUCUCAGAUUUGGCUUGAUGAAAUUAUGGAAAUUAGGUAACCACUAACAAGAUCUUAUUAUUGACAAGGGAAGUUUUCCAGGCACAGCAUAUUCCAAGUUAAGAGUCUCACAUGGACAUGGUACAGAGAGAGAGAGAGAGAGAUUAGGUAACCACUAACAAGUUCUUGUUAUUGACAAGGGAAGAUUUCCAGGCACAGCAUAUUCCAAGUUAAGAGUCUCACAUAGACAUGGUACACACACACACACACACACAGAGAGAGAGAGAGAGAGAGAGAGAGAGAGAGAGAGAGAGAGAGAGAGAGAGAGAGAGAGAGAGAGAGAGAGAGAGAGAGAGAGAGAGAGAGAGUANNNNNNNNNNNNNNNNNNNN
Molecule: long non-coding RNA, 35044 nt
Filed under: Fragaria vesca (wild strawberry)
Lineage: Eukaryota; Viridiplantae; Streptophyta; Magnoliopsida; Rosales; Rosaceae
Description: long non-coding RNA (FVES_LNC003429)
Source: RNAcentral